This 372-nucleotide ribosomal RNA is filed under the name uncultured soil bacterium. RNAcentral describes it as "bacterial SSU rRNA". It matches the Rfam family "Bacterial small subunit ribosomal RNA", at positions 26 to 393 of the family's 1533-position model. The record is from RNAcentral.
AGAUUGAACGCUGGCGGCAGGCCUAACACAUGCAAGUCGAGCGGUAGAGAGGUGCUUGCAUCUCUUGAGAGCGGCGGACGGGUGAGUAAUGCCUAGGAAUCUGCCUAGUGGUGGGGGAUAACGUUCGGAAACGGACGCUAAUACCGCAUACGUCCUACGGGAGAAAGCGGGGGACCUUCGGGCCUCGCGCCAUUAGAUGAGCCUAGGUCGGAUUAGCUAGUUGGUGAGGUAAUGGCUCACCAAGGCGACGAUCCGUAACUGGUCUGAGAGGAUGAUCAGUCACACUGGAACUGAGACACGGUCCAGACUCCUACGGGAGCAGCAGGUGGGGGAAUAGUUGGACAAGUGGGGACGAAAGGCCUGACUCCAGCC